UUUCUCUUUUCCAGUUUGAAUUGAGUGUGGAGACAGUAGACAAAUUCUUGCCUAGCUUGGAAAUGUCAUCUACAUCCAUGGCCGCUGGAUCUAUCUGGCUGGUAGCAGUGACCUUUGUCUUCGACUUGGUGGUUCUAGGAUAACGAGGAGGGCUAAACAAUGACAGUUGUGGCCUUCGUCUUUGACUCCAUGUGUUGUUUUAGGGAGCGUGACAUCGAUCGGUGUCGAGGAUGAUGUGGCCUGGCAGAUUCAGGCAGCAGUGGCUUCCUUCUCUCCCUCCAGGUUCGUGGAUAUCAGAUUGGUGCUUUGGAGAAUGGGAUGCUUGUGAGGAUUUAAGCAGCAAGAACUGGACAUGAACUCCCUUACUCCCUUCAUUUAGGAAGGAUAUACAAUAGGAGGGCGAGAUGGCGGCAAGGAACCUGCAGCCUGAUGAUCAAUGGAGGAAGAAGCCAUCUUUAUACACGCCUUGCUCUGUGCAACAGCUUUAUUUAUUUACUCUGGUUGUAAUUAAUGCAACACAACUGAGAAUUCAGAUUUGGAAGAAUCUCGUAUUGCAUCAUGUCGCUGUUGUAUGUGUAACAGUGAGCUCGGAGCCUAGGACGGGAUCUGCGGAAACUUGUGCUUUAGUGCAUCAGCUUUGAUUUGAUGCUGAU
This is a long non-coding RNA of Lolium rigidum, 653 nucleotides long. RefSeq lists it as uncharacterized. The transcript is spliced from 5 exons. The record is from RefSeq and is a predicted model, not a curated record. NCBI's taxonomy places the organism in Eukaryota, Viridiplantae, Streptophyta, Magnoliopsida, Poales, Poaceae.